CCUACGGUGGGCAGCAGUAGGGAAUCUUCCACAAUGGACGAAAGUCUGAUGGAGCAACGCCGCGUGAGUGAAGAAGGGUUUCGGCUCGUAAAGCUCUGUUGGUAGUGACGAAAGAUAGAGGUAGUAACUGGCCUUUAUUUGACGGUAAUUACUUAGAAAGUCAAGGCUAACGACUUGCCAGCAGCCGCGGUAAUACGUAGGUGGCAAGCGUUGUCCGGAUUUGUUGGGCGUAAAGCGACUGCCGGAGGUUCAAUAAGUCUGAUGUGAAAGCCUUCGGCUCAACCGGAGCAUUGCAUCAGAAACGGUUGUAGUUGAGUGCAGAAGAGGAGAGUGGAACUCCAUGUGUAGCGGUGGAAUGCGUAGAUAUAUGGAAGAACACCAGUGGCGAAGGCGGCUCUCUGGUCUGCAACUGACGCUGAGGCUCGAAAGCAUGGGUAGCGAACAGGAUUAGAUACCCGGGUAGUC
RNAcentral lists this ribosomal RNA (465 nucleotides) under uncultured bacterium. Its description in RNAcentral is "partial 16S ribosomal RNA". It matches the Rfam family "Bacterial small subunit ribosomal RNA", at positions 338 to 795 of the family's 1533-position model. The record is from RNAcentral.